This 875-nucleotide small RNA is filed under the name Arabidopsis thaliana (thale cress). Its description in RNAcentral is "ATSL164910". Lineage: Eukaryota; Viridiplantae; Streptophyta; Magnoliopsida; Brassicales; Brassicaceae. The record is from RNAcentral.
UAACGUUUCUAAUGAUCUCAAAUAUAACAAACAAACACUAAACUGGCAACAGCGCCAGAUUGAUAGUAGGAUUUUAGUCAAUUAAUCCUAAAACACUAUCCUGUCGUUGUAGUAUUUUAGGAUGUCAAUCCAAUCCGGUGUGAUGCAAACAGAUGAAAUAUGAUCAAAAAGCUCUAAGUCAAGCCAAGAAGAAAGUUGGUUGGUUCUAACAGUCCUAAUAUGCAAUAACAGAAAUGAAAUGAAACUAAAAGCAGAAAUGGCAAUAGCAGGCAGGUGAAUAACAAAGCAGAAAUGAUAACAAGCAAUAAAAUGGAUAAACGAUUCCUAAGGAUGGGGUAAUCGAAUAGUGUGGUCUCCUUAAUCUAUUCAGGCGGUUGACAAAACUUCACAGAAGCUAUCCGUAGACAACAAGUUCAACAAUAGAUUAAUUCACUCCCGUGAUAGAAAUCCUCAAGCAAAGCUAGACACUGACCUAAAUCCCUUUAGCGAUCUCUAACUAAGCAGGCAUUAUCGAAUCAACAUGUUAAAGUCAAUACCCUCUCUACAGCCAAUCCCUUGAGGUAGAGUCAAAUAUCUCUGGAAUUAAUAGGAUCCAACGCCCAUUAAAUGCCUUUUGAGCGCUGGACGUCUGGACUCAUACUCCACAUUAGCCAGUGAAACAAGCAAUAAGCGCAACUAAUCCAGAAGGGAUUCUACUAUUCUAAACUCAACCACCUAAAACGACCAAGUAAACCACAACUAAUCUAUCCCAUCCUCAGAAAUACAGUUCACUACUCAGACAUAAUCAAAGACAAUAACAAAGCAACGAUUGAAAACAUGAUAACAGAAAUGAUGAAAGACUUAGACGAAAACUGAAUAUCAAAUACUUGAAAGUG